Molecule: ribosomal RNA, 2718 nt
Filed under: Clostridioides difficile
Lineage: Bacteria; Bacillati; Bacillota; Clostridia; Peptostreptococcales; Peptostreptococcaceae
Source: RNAcentral
AAUAAACGAGCGGGAAUAGUUCAGUGGUAGAGCGCAACCUUGCCAAGGUUGAAGUCGCGAGUUCGAAUCUCGUUUCCCGCUCCAAAUUUUAUGUUUAUGUUGUAAUGUGGGUGCAUAGCUCAGCUGGAUAGAGCAACGCCCUUCUAAGGCGUGUGUCCGGGGUUCGAAUCCCUGUGCGCUCACCACAUAUAUAUUGGGGAUUAGCCAAGUCGGUAAGGCACAUGACUUUGACUCAUGUAUGCGUAGGUUCGAGUCCUGCAUCCCCAGCCAAACAGUAUGGUCUAUUAGCUCAGUCGGUAGAGCACCUGACUUUUAAUCAGGGUGUCCCGCGUUCGAGUCGCGGAUAGAUCACCAAUGGAGAGGUGUCCGAGUGGUUUAAGGAGCUGGUCUUGAAAACCAGUGACUUCGAAAGGGGCCGUGGGUUCGAAUCCCACCCUCUCCGCCAAAUGCCCAGAUAGCUCAGUCGGUAGAGCAGGGGACUGAAAAUCCCCGUGUCGGUGGUUCGAUUCCGCCUCUGGGCACCAAAAUGUGGCGGUAUAGCUUAGUUGGCUAGAGCGUUCGGUUCAUACCCGAAAGGUCAUAGGUUCGACUCCUAUUACCGCUACUAAAAUUUAAUGUGGGCCAUUAGCUCAGUUGGUUAGAGCGCCCGGCUCAUAACCGGUAGGUCUGGGGUUCGAGUCCCUGAUGGCCCACCACAUUAAAUUAAUUAAUAUAAAUUCGAGGUGUAGCGCAGUUUGGUAGCGCACAUGGUUUGGGACCAUGGGGCCGGGGGUUCGAGUCCCUUCACCUCGACCAAUAUAAGGUGGGUAUAGCUCAGUUGGUUAGAGCGCCAGAUUGUGGCUCUGGAGGUCGUGAGUUCGACUCUCAUUAUCCACCCCAAUUCAUAUGGUCUAUUAGCUCAGUCGGUAGAGCACCUGACUUUUAAUCAGGGUGUCCCGCGUUCGAGUCGCGGAUAGAUCACCAAAAAGGUGGCGACAUAGCCAAGUGGUAAGGCAGUGGACUGCAACUCCUUGAUCCCCAGUUCGAAUCUGGGUGUCGCCUCCAAAAUAUUCCAAGGUAGCUCAACGGUGGAGCAACCGGCUGUUAACCGGUAGGCUGUGGGUUCGAGCCCCACCCUUGGAGCCAAAAAAGCCGAAGUGGCGGAACUGGCAGACGCACAGGACUUAAAAUCCUGCGGGACUUACCUCUCGUACCGGUUCGAUUCCGGUCUUCGGCACUUAUAAAACAAUAUCGCGGAGUGGAGCAGUUGGCAGCUCGUCGGGCUCAUAACCCGAAGGUCGUAGGUUCAAGUCCUGCCUCCGCAACCAUUAAAAUGGCUCGUUGGUCAAGAGGUUAAGACACCGCCCUUUCACGGCGGUAACAGGGGUUCAAUUCCCCUACGAGUCACCAAUUAAAUAUGCGGGUGUAGCUCAAUGGUAGAGUUCUGGCCUUCCAAGCCAGCUGUGAGGGUUCGAUCCCCUUCACCCGCUCCAAAAAUGGGACCAUAGCUCAGCUGGGAGAGCACCUGCCUUACAAGCAGGGGGUCACAGGUUCGAGCCCUGUUGGUCCCACCAUUUGCGGCCUGGUAGUUCAGUUGGUUAGAAUGCCAGCCUGUCACGCUGGAGGUCGAGGGUUCGANNNNNNNNNNNNNNNNNNNNNNNNNNNNNNNNNNNNNNNNNAUUAAAAACUUAAUAGAAAUAUUAAGCAUAAAGAUUAUGUGGUUACAAUAGCAGAGAGGAUACACCUGUUCCCAUUUCGAACACAGAAGUUAAGCUCCCUAGCGCUGAUGGUACUNUAAGUUCCGACCCGCACGAAAGGCGUAACGAUUUGGGCACUGUCUCAACAACAGACUCGGUGAAAUUGUAAUUCCGGUGAAGAUGCCGGAUACCUGCGACAGGACGGAAAGACCCCAUGGAGCUUUACUGUAGCUUGACAUUGGGUCUUGGUACUACAUGUACAGGAUAGGUGGGAGGCUUUGAAACCAGGACGCCAGUUUUGGCGGAGCCAUCCUUGGGAUACCACCCUUGUAGUACUGGGACUCUAACCAUAGGCCAUGAAUCUGGUCUUGGGACACUGUCAGGUGGGCAGUUUGACUGGGGCGGUCGCCUCCCAAAAGGUAACGGAGGCGCUCAAAGGUUCUCUCAGUACGGUCGGAAAUCGUACGUAGAGUGUAAAGGCAAAAGAGAGCUUGAUUGCAAGACAUACAGGUCGAGCAAGGAUGAAAAUCGGACUUAGUGAUCCGGUGGUUCUGCGUGGAAGGGCCAUCGCUCAACGGAUAAAAGCUACCCUGGGGAUAACAGGCUUAUCUCCCCCAAGAGUCCACAUCGACGGGGAGGUUUGGCACCUCGAUGUCGGCUCAUCACAUCCUGGGGCUGUAGUAGGUCCCAAGGGUUGGGCUGUUCGCCCAUUAAAGUGGUACGCGAGCUGGGUUCAGAACGUCGUGAGACAGUUCGGUCCCUAUCCGUCGCAGGCGUAGGAAAUUUGAGAAGACCUGUCCUUAGUACGAGAGGACCGGGAUGGACGUACCUCUGGUGUACCAGUUGUCCUGCCAAGGGCAUGGCUGGGUAGCUAUGUACGGAAUGGAUAAGCGCUGAAAGCAUCUAAGCGCGAAGUCAACUUCAAGAUAAGAUUUCCCACCGCAAGGGUAAGACCCCAGAAAGACUAUCUGGUUGAUAGGUCGAAGGUGUAAGUGCAGCAAUGUAUUUAGCUUAUCGAUACUAAUAGGUCGAGGACUUGACC